Non-coding RNA from Pangasius djambal, 73 nucleotides. Lineage: Eukaryota; Metazoa; Chordata; Actinopteri; Siluriformes; Pangasiidae. The record is from the annotation of a GenBank genome assembly.
GGCAGUGGUAGCUUAGUGGUUAGAUGUUGGGCUACUAAUUGGAAGGUCACAAGUUCAAUCCCAGGCACCGCCA